UGAGAUACCUGAAGUUCAAUUCCGUCAAUUGAUUGAGUAUUGGGAUGAUGAAGAUGUCCAAGCUAUGUGCCAAUUAAAUUCUGAAAACAGGAAAAAAC
Non-coding RNA from Nicotiana tabacum (common tobacco), 98 nucleotides. The record is from RefSeq and is a predicted model, not a curated record. NCBI's taxonomy places the organism in Eukaryota, Viridiplantae, Streptophyta, Magnoliopsida, Solanales, Solanaceae.